RNAcentral lists this ribosomal RNA (354 nucleotides) under uncultured bacterium. RNAcentral's name for it is "bacterial SSU rRNA". It matches the Rfam family "Bacterial small subunit ribosomal RNA", at positions 527 to 881 of the family's 1533-position model. The record is from RNAcentral.
GUAGGGUGCAAGCGUUAAUCGGAAUUACUGGGCGUAAAGCGUGCGCAGGCGGUUGGGUAAGACAGAUGUGAAAUCCCCGGGCUUAACCUGGGAACUGCAUUUGUGACUGUCCGACUGGAGUACGUCAGAGGGGGGUGGAAUUCCGCGUGUAGCAGUGAAAUGCGUAGAUAUGCGGAAGAACACCGAUGGCGAAGGCAGCCCCCUGGGACGCAACUGACGCUCAUGCACGAAAGCGUGGGGAGCAAACAGGAUUAGAUACCCUGGUAGUCCACGCCCUAAACGAUGUCUGCCGGUUGUUGGGGAUUUCUAUCUUCAGUAACGAAGCUAACGCGUGAAGCAGACCGCCUGGGGAGU